RNAcentral lists this ribosomal RNA (457 nucleotides) under uncultured Sphingobacteriales bacterium. Its description in RNAcentral is "bacterial SSU rRNA". It matches the Rfam family "Bacterial small subunit ribosomal RNA", at positions 924 to 1382 of the family's 1533-position model. The record is from RNAcentral. Lineage: Bacteria; Pseudomonadati; Bacteroidota; Sphingobacteriia; Sphingobacteriales.
CACAAGCGGAGGAGCAUGUGGUUUAAUCGAUGAUACGCGAGGAACCUUACCUGGGCUCGAACGUAAGAUGACUGUAGGUGAAAGCUUACAUCUCUUCGGAGCAUUUUACGAGGCGCUGCAUGGUUGUCGUCAGCUCGUGCCGUGAGGUGUCGGGUUAAGUCCCAUAACGAGCGCAACCCCUACCUUUAGUUGCCAUCAGGUAAUGCUGGGGACUCUAAAGGAACUGCCUACGCAAGUAGUGAGGAAGGCGGGGAUGACGUCAAAUCAGCACGGCCCUUACGUCCAGGGCUACACACGUGCUACAAUGGCCGAUACAGAGGGCAGCUACCUGGUGACAGGAUGCAAAUCUCCAAAGUCGGCCUCAGUUCGGAUCGGAGUCUGCAACCCGACUCCGUGAAGUUGGAUUCGCUAGUAAUCGCGCAUCAGCCAUGGCGCGGUGAAUACGUUCCCGGGCCUU